This 335-nucleotide ribosomal RNA is filed under the name uncultured Bdellovibrio sp. RNAcentral's name for it is "bacterial SSU rRNA". It matches the Rfam family "Bacterial small subunit ribosomal RNA", at positions 505 to 841 of the family's 1533-position model. The record is from RNAcentral. Lineage: Bacteria; Pseudomonadati; Bdellovibrionota; Bdellovibrionia; Bdellovibrionales; Pseudobdellovibrionaceae.
GUGCCAGCAGCUGCGGUAAGACGAGGGGUCCAAGCGUUGUUCGGAAUUAUUGGGCGUAAAGCGGGUGUAGGUGGCUCUAUAAGUCAGGAGUGAAAUCCCCGAGCUUAACUUGGGAAGUGCUUUUGAUACUGUAGAGCUUGAGUGUGGGAGAGGAUCGUAGAAUUCCAGGUGUAGUGGUGAAAUACGUAGAUAUCUGGAGGAAUACCGGUGGCGAAGGCGGCGAUCUGGCCCAACACUGACACUGAGACCCGAAAGCGUGGGAUCAAACAGGAUUAGAUACCCUGGUAGUCCACGCCGUAAACGAUGGAUACUUGUUGUGGAGGUAUUGACCCCUU